This 1590-nucleotide ribosomal RNA is filed under the name human gut metagenome. RNAcentral's name for it is "bacterial LSU rRNA". It matches the Rfam family "Bacterial large subunit ribosomal RNA", at positions 1350 to 2925 of the family's 2925-position model. The record is from RNAcentral.
GGUUCCUGAGCAACGAUCGUCGUCUCAGGGUAAGUCGGGACCUAAGCCGAGGCAAGAAGCAUAGGCGAUGGACAACAGGUUGAAAUUCCUGUACCGGAAGAGUCUGAUUGAGUGAAGGAGUGACGCAGAAGGGCACACAAGCAUGCGAAUGGAAGAGCAUGUCUAAGUGCGUAGCCUGUAUGAUAGGAAAAACCGUCAUACGAGAAGGGUGAGACAUGAAGGGGAGUUAAAGGAGACUUUAAUGAACUUGUGAAUCCCAUGCUGCCAAGAAAAGCUUCUAGCGAGGACUCGUCCGCCCGUACCGUAAACCGACACAGGUAGGCGGGGAGAGAAUCCUAAGGUGCGCGGGAAAACCCUCGUUAAGGAACUCGGCAAAUUGCAUCCGUAACUUCGGAAGAAGGAUGGCCCUUGGUAGGCGAAGAGUCAAGCACUUGGAACCGAGAAGGGUGGCAGAAAAGAGGCCCAAGCAACUGUUUACCAAAAACACAGGUGCCUGCGAAAGCGAAAGCUGAAGUAUAGGUGCUGACGCCUGCCCGGUGCUGGAAGGUUAAGGAGAGAGGUCAGCUAAGGCGAAGCUUUGAACUGAAGCCCCAGUGAACGGCGGCCGUAACUAUAACGGUCCUAAGGUAGCGAAAUUCCUUGUCGGGUAAGUUCCGACCCGCACGAAAGGUGUAACGAUUUGGGCACUGUCUCAACGAGGGACCCGGUGAAAUUGAAAUACCUGUGAAGAUGCAGGUUACCCGCGACUGGACAGAAAGACCCCAUGGAGCUUUACUGCAGCUUGAGAUGGAAUCUCGGAAGUAGAUGCACAGGAUAGGUGGGAGACAAAGAAGUAUGUACUUAGGUAUGUAUGGAGUCGAUGUUGGGAUACCACCCUUCUAGUUCUGGGAUUCUAACGCCAGGAGUAACGACCCUGCGGACAAUCUCAGGUAGGCAGUUUGACUGGGGCGGUCGCCUCCGAAAGAGUAACGGAGGCGCCCAAAGGUUCCCUCAGGUCGGACAGAAACCGACCGACGAGUGCAAAGGCAGAAGGGAGCUUGACUGCGAGACCAACAAGUCGAGCAGAGACGAAAGUCGGGCUUAGUGAUCCGGUGGUACUGUGUGGAAAGGCCAUCGCUCAACGGAUAAAAGCUACCCUGGGGAUAACAGGCUAAUCUCUCCCAAGAGUCCAUAUCGACGGGGAGGUUUGGCACCUCGAUGUCGGCUCAUCACAUCCUGGGGCUGGAGUAGGUCCCAAGGGUUGGGCUGUUCGCCCAUUAAAGUGGUACGCGAGCUGGGUUCAAAACGUCGUGAGACAGUUUGGUUCAUAUCCAUCGCGGGCGUAAGAAGUUUGAGGGGGGCUGCUCCUAGUACGAGAGGACCGGAGUGGACGAAUCAAUGGUGUACCAGUUGUCACGCCAGUGGCAUGGCUGGAAAGCCACAUUCGGAAGGGAUAAACGCUGAAAGCAUCUAAGCGUGAAGCCCACCCCAAGAUGAGACUUCUCAUCAGAAAUGAGUAAGAUCCCUUAUAGACUAUGAGGUAGAUAGGCCGCAAGUGGAAGAGCAGUGAUGUUUGGAGCGAUGCGGUACUAAUAGAUCGAGGUCUUAACU